UAUGAUCGGAUAUUUAUUUCAUUCAAAUUUUUCUAACAUGAGAAAAAGAUUGGAUGUGCAUUAAGACGGAUAUAUAUAUAUAUAUAUAUUCACCAUUUAUAGUAUUAUAAUACUGUGUGUAUAUAUACAUACAUACCAAACACACGCACACGCACACACUUGUUGUACAAGGUGUUACGACGAAUAAGACGUACAUAUGUUAUAAUAUAUAUGUCGGCCAAUAUUAUAUUCGGUUAUGGCGGUUACAGCGGUAGCAACGUUAGCCGCACACAACUCUCCGUACAGAUCAAUACUCGAGGUAGGGCCCCCCACGACUCUUCUUCCUUUUCAGCCUAUCUCUCUGUCCUGUAUGUACAUACAUAUAUACGUACUAUACUUAUAACAGACGUAUACAUACGACGCUGACGAAUAUAUAUCAAAAUUUUAUUUAUAUAUAUCUCAAUGUUUUCCCUUUUUCUACGAACAAGAAAAGUUGUUCUUAAAAAAAAAAAAAAAAAAAAAAAAAAAAAACCCUCAAAUAAAUGCAAUAUAUAUUUUUAUAGUCCUCGUUCCAUUGUUAAUUAUGUGACUAAGAAGCACUUUCCCUUUCCUCCUUUUUCUCCCUUGGCCACGUCCUUUGAAUCAUUCUUUUAAGGAUCAUUCAUGGCUCUAUGAAAUAUUUGUCUCAUAAUAAAAUAAUUAUUAAGACGAAAUACAACGAAACUGUAUAAUAUUUUCAUUAAUACUUGUUCUCAUCAAUUUUUUUUUUCUCGAGAAAGGCAGAGAGAAAGAGAGAAAAAAAAAUUUCUAUGAUCAACAUUGCACUUAAAAAAUUUAGAUUAUGAUUUCGUCAUUACACACCAUCGUGUUUUCUAUUUGGUAAAGUUCAUUAUUUACAUAUAACACGUAUAAAUAAUUCGUUCUAGCAAAACCGACUGAAAUGAAUCACGCAUGAAUGCGUAUACGUUAUGAUUGACCCGCAUAGUCAAACCGGGACAGAUAAUGUUAUAUAUCGUGAUAGAAAGCGUUACGUAUAUAUACCGCUUCUUACAACGUAUAGUCAUUCGAUCCUUAGUCAUCAUGAUAUUAUAGCUUAUAGGCAUAUAUGGGGUGGGCCAAACGUUUCUAAGCUUGUAGUUUUACAAUUUGAAAGUAAGGAAAAAAGGGAAAAAAAAAAAAAGAAACAAAAGAUUAAUCUAAAAAGUGGUUGCAAAAAGAGUAAUCGAUUUUUAAAAAUAACCUAGGAACUUUGAAUCCAUCAUGUUUACAAAGAUUUAUAAUAUUAUUAUUUAAAAUUAUAUGAUUCAUUGAUUAACGAAUAGAUAUUGGAAAAGAAAAUGUAACGUUUUUUAAUAUCAUUUAUAUAAAUGUUGUUUUCUAACAAGUGCAGUUUUAUAAUUUAGGUUCUGGAAUAUACAUGAAGUUAGUUGAGAAUUCAAAGGUUUAAAGACGAACGUUUCAUACUCAUCUACAUUGCAUACAUAUAUAUGUACACGAUACGUAACGAUACAGCAUGAAGCAUCUCAUUAGAAAUAUUUCGAAGAAUUUUUUCUUUUAUUAUUAUUAUUAUUAUUAUUAUUAUUAUUAUUAUUAUUAUUAUUAUUAUUAUUAUUUUUCUUAAUUUUUGAUCCUAAAUGAUUUAUGCACGUUGAAUCUAUGAUUUUAUAGAUCAAACGUAAUUUUUAUUUUGCAAAUGUAUACAUUUAUUAUCUAUUUAUUUAUUUUUUUCUUUUAGUAUUGAAAUUAAACAAUUUCAUUUAAUUAUUACAGCUUUAUUCAGUUAGGAAAUAUUAAUGUGACAUUAAUAUAUUAUGCGUAAGUAUAGGGACAAGGUACAUCAAGUCUCUUUUUUACACGAUGGGCGUGUACGGCGCAAAAAGAAAUAUUCGUAUAAAAAAAUUGAUUUAUAAAAAAUAAUAUAAAAUUUAUAUACUAUAAAUAUAACAAAUUAUAAAAAUAGCAAUCUAAAAUAUAGAAAUAUAUUAAUUAAGAACAUUUUAUUUAAUAAACACAUAAAAGAAUAAUUAAUCUGUUGAGAAAAAUAAAAAGAAAAAAAAAAAAAAGAAAGAAAGAAAUUAAAAAAGAAAAUUAUGCAAAAUUUUCGUGACAUUUUCUGGGAGCUAAUUAGUGUGCAUUUUUACAAUCGUGUAAAAGUAAAUAAAACGCGUUUAAAAAAAUAAAAAAAAAAAAAAAAAACGUAUAAAAAGAUCACUUUUAUUUAUUUGAUUAAUAUUUUGGUUAAUUAAUGACAAGUGUUUUGUUAAAUAAAUGAUUAAAUAUAUAUGAAUAUUUUCGUUUAUUAUUUAUAAUAAAAGAUCAAUACGUAAUAUAAUUGGUCAGUCCAGAUUUUAAGUAAUUGCCAAAGUUGCGUCUGGGUUUAUUAUAAAUACCGAUCGUUUAUUUAAAAUACAAGAUUAAAAAUGAUUAAAAGUACUGAUCGAAUAAAUAACAAUGAUGAAAACAAAUACCGUGUAAAAGAAGACCCAAGUACACACACACACAAACACAUUAACGAAAUAAAAUAAAUUAAUUUUUGAGGUUAGAAAGAAUAUUUUUAAGAAACAUUGCAGAAUAGAAGGUGAUAUCGGGCGCCGCCCGCGUCUUUUAAAGCGGAUGAAACGUUAGCGUUAACAGAGUAAAAUACAUACUUCGUUCCUUCCAACGUAUUGUAACGAGUCUGAGUUUUUUUUUCUUUUUUUAUAAAAUUCAUAUGUCGGCUCUCUUCGUUUCGAUUUAUAAAAAAUACCAAGAGCAAUAGGAAUUCAAUUAUUCGAUUCAAUUCAAUGAUAGUAACAAUGCAUCGAGAUAAAUGCAUCGAUAAAAGCUGAACGCAAACUUUUCAGUAAUACAUAUGUAUAUAGUAUAUGCAUGUAUGUAUGUACAUGGCUGGUAUUAUUUUUACAAAGAUGAUUGUUAAAAACGGAAAUACAGAAUUUAUAUCAUUUUCUUCUUAAAGAAUGUACAUACUAUUGUUGAAAAUAUCGAUAUAUUAUUCAACAUUUUUAUUAAUUUUAAAAAUAAGGACAUUCUCCAUCAUUUUUAUCGAUAUGUAUUUUCGAUAUUCUUAUCAAAAGGAUAUUUUUCUCAAAAUUGGUCGAAAGUUUUUUCUACGUAAUUUUUAAUAAUAAAUCACUCUCUUUCGAGACUUUUUAAGUUAUUUCUUUUUUCCUCGGAUUAUAAAACCACAAGUCUAACUUGUAAAAAAAAAAAAAAAAAAAAAAAAAGUCUAAAAUGUCUUGAAAAAGAUUAAUUGAUUCUUAAAAUCACUUAAGACUUUUGCUCCAUUCUGUAUUUUGUUCGAAUAUUCGAAAAAAAAUGAAGAAAGAACGAAUAAAAAAUUAUUUAUUUUUAUAAAUAUUACAUUAUUUAUCGAUAGUAAUUAUGUGCACAUAUCGAAUAAUCGUUUGAUCUUUCUAUGAAUCAGAGAAAAUCGAUGAUAAAAACAAAAUAAUCGAACGACCUCUCUCCUCUCCUAUGUUGUUCUAUCCUCUUUAAAGACCGGUACUGUGUACUUGUUUUUCACGUAUGUAAAUAUCCGUCUCGUCUUUUUCGUUUGCUAUCAGCGAAUUAUUACGACUCUUUUAAAAUCAGUUUCAUGCGUCUACAUAUCGAAUGUGUUCGUUCCAAUCUCAUGAUUUAUAAUCGAUUACAUCUAUUAUUUCUUUGUUUUUCGUGUAAAAAAAAAAAAAAAAAAAAAAAAAGAAGAAGAUCAUACAGAGCUAUAUAGAAAUUCUAUGGAAACGCAUUGAAUUCUAUGAAAACGCUUUAUAUACUUGAGCUUUAAUAUAGUGAAAUUCUUUAAGCGUCGAUUUAAGGGGCAACAGUAGAGCAGAGACACGUUCGAAACACAAAUACGGAAAUGUCGAGUAGUGCGCAAACUCGUGGGAUCAACCUAUUGCGAUUGAUACGUGAUGGUGGGAGGUAGAUUCGGGGAAGGGAUGAUCAGAGAUAGUCGGAGGGGAGAAAGGCGAGCCAAUCAUCGACAGGACGAUACAACAUGGCCACCAGUUUGCAUAGGGCCGUGCUUGGGUGAACGUCGAGCACGUCGUGUAGGCAAUUUUCGUCGAUUAAACGACAGAUGUCGCAACGUGCGCUUUAACUCGCCCGAAGUUGAGUUUAACAACGACGACGACGGACAACGACAAUUGCGGCGUGACGGUUGUGUUUCUCUCGUGUUGAUUUUUCGUUCGCGAAACAAGAAGAAAACUCUUUCGUGAUUCGUGGUGAAAGACGGUGGGGAGAGGAAAAAAAAAGAAUAGAAUAGAAUAGCAGCCAAGAAGAGCGGAAUUUGAGAAUUUGAUUAAUAAUUGAGAAAAUGGGAAGAAAGUCGAUACGUAAUAUCAGACCGAAAUUGAUUCGAAUUGUCGAAGACGCGCGAGAAUGAUGAUCCAUUUGGAUGAAAU
Molecule: long non-coding RNA, 4382 nt
Organism: Vespa velutina
Lineage: Eukaryota; Metazoa; Arthropoda; Insecta; Hymenoptera; Vespidae
Exons: 2
Source: RefSeq, a predicted model, not a curated record